AUGAACGCUGGCGGCGUGCCUAAUACAUGCAAGUCGAGCGAACGGACGAGAAGCUUGCUUCUCUGAUGUUAGCGGCGGACGGGUGAGCAACACGUGGAUAACCUACCUAUAAGACUGGGAUAACUUCGGGAAACCGGGGCUAAUACCGGAUAAUAUUUUGAACCGCAUGGUUCAAAAGUGAAAGACGGUCUUGCUGUCACUUAUAGAUGGAUCCGCGCUGCAUUAGCUAGUUGGUAAGGUAACGGCUUACCAAGGCAACGAUGCAUAGCCGACCUGAGAGGGUGAUCGGCCACACUGGAACUGAGACACGGUCCAGACUCCUACGGGAGGCAGCAGUAGGGAAUCUUCCGCAAUGGGCGAAAGCCUGACGGAGCAACGCCGCGUGAGUGAUGAAGGUCUUCGGAUCGUAAAACUCUGUUAUUAGGGAAGAACAUAUGUGUAAGUAACUGUGCACAUCUUGACGGUACCUAAUCAGAAAGCCACGGCUAACUACGUG
This 496-nucleotide ribosomal RNA is filed under the name uncultured bacterium. Its description in RNAcentral is "partial 16S ribosomal RNA". It matches the Rfam family "Bacterial small subunit ribosomal RNA", at positions 29 to 507 of the family's 1533-position model. The record is from RNAcentral.